AAGGUCUGUACAAGCUCUAAAGUAACUGUUAGUCAAAGAUCAACAAGUCGAUAUCAGUGGCGGAUCCAGACCUUGAGCUAAGGGGUGCCCGGUUUUGUUUUGCUUGCCCUGCUGGCUUUCUUCCUUCUGUGAUUUCUUCUUUUUUCACCCAAAAUUAGGGGGCCUCAGGGCCCCCGGACCCCUGGGUCCCUCCACUAGAUUCCCCACUGGAUAUUUCAAGGAAUGAAACUAGCGAUUACUAAAGUCUUCAGAGCCAACAUUUUCCUCGCACCAAGGUCCCGCCGGCUACGAAAAACGACAUGGGGCCUUGGGACUGAACUUGAUUUAGCAUCAAAUAUUUUUCGCUCUUUGCAUGAGGUGCGUGGAAGCUCCGCUUCUUCUUUCAAACUUUGGCUAAUGCCGUGUCUACAUUACAAGAAAUGUUCCCAAACAUGUUCCAGACACAAAAUUUUGAUGGUGGAAUCUUAUGGAGGAAAAUUAGCUCACCUAUCCAAGCGCCAGAAACAGCAAGCCAACUCUGACAAGAUGCAACGUGUGUCUUUGACCAUGCUUGCUCUUCAGCCGAAUUUCCGUAGCCCUGGCGAAGCAAAAUGCUGUGACUCUCCCAGACUUCGUAUUAUCCAAAGUGCAUACAGUCCAACCCCCAUCACAUGUACAGUUGAAAAUAUUUACGAUGUUAAGGCCUGGCUUCCUGACUUUUCAUCAAAAUUCCAAGGCUACAGUCAUCCCCAUGCCUUCCGUUUCAAGCUAAAUGAUAACAGAGACAUGGAGAUGAAUAACUGACCCUGGGCAAAAGCUGGAAGAAAGGAAUGGCUUCAUUAUUUUAUGAGACAUUCCACCUGGGAAACUGUGAGAGAAUGUCCAACCCUUAAAAAAAAUGAAAGACUGUAGAAAAAUGAAAACUUAGAAUGUCAACAGUAGAACAAGAACGGUGGGAGAAAAUGAUGAGGGAAGAGGAGGAAAGGGUGACAUUGUUGGAUUCCCUAAAUGAAGAGGAUUAUGCUGAGGCAGGGAAGACAUUUGACCUGUUGGGGUUCAAUUACACCAUGCCAGACCCUGAACCUACAGAUUAGGAAUACAAGGAAAGGAACACAAAUGUGCACCAUUUGAUAGAGAAGGAAGAAAUCUUAAUGCAUGGUAAACAAGAAACACAUAAAGACGUGAAAUACAUCAGACAUGGCAGGUUAGUCAGAGUUUUUCUGUAUAGUCACUUUGAGGGACAGGUGCAGUGUACCAUUAUAGGAUGGAAUUCAAUCUUGAGAAAUCCAGCAGAUUGCGUUUUUGACAGGAUUGUUACGACGUUGAAUGACGGUCGUUGGUGUCAAGAUUAUUUGGGAACAUCU
Long non-coding RNA from Orbicella faveolata, 1343 nucleotides. The record is from RefSeq and is a predicted model, not a curated record. Lineage: Eukaryota; Metazoa; Cnidaria; Anthozoa; Scleractinia; Merulinidae.